Molecule: ribosomal RNA, 792 nt
Filed under: uncultured bacterium
Lineage: Bacteria
Description: bacterial SSU rRNA
Rfam family: Bacterial small subunit ribosomal RNA
Source: RNAcentral
AGAGUUUGAUCCUGGCUCAGGAUGAACGCUAGCGGCAGGCCUAAUACAUGCAAGUCGAACGGUAAGUGUAGUAGCAAUAUUAUACGAGAGUGACGUACGGGUGCGUAACACGUAUGCAACCUACCCUUUACAGGAGGAUAGCUCGGGGAAACUCGAAUUAACCCUCCAUGAUAUAAUGAUGUGGCAUCACGUUAUUAUUAAAACUCUGGUGGUAAAGGAUGGGCAUGCGUCUGAUUAGUUAGUUGGUGCGGGUAACGGCCCACCAAGACGAUGAUCAGUAGGGGAACUGAGAGGUUGAUCCCCCACACUGGCACUGAGAUACGGGCCAGACUCCUACGGGAGGCAGCAGUAGGGAAUAUUGGUCAAUGGAUGGAAGUCUGAACCAGCCAUGCCGCGUGCAGGAAGAAGGCCUUCUGGGUUGUAAACUGCUUUUGCCAGGGGAUAAAAAGACCGUGCGCGGUUAAUUGAAGGUACCUGGUGAAUAAGCCACGGCUAACUACGUGCCAGCAGCCGCGGUAAUACGUAGGUGGCAAGCGUUGUCCGGAUUUAUUGGGUUUAAAGGGUGCGUAGGCGGCCCUGUAAGUCAGUGGUGAAAUAUCUCAGCUUAACUGAGAGGGUGCCAUUGAUACUGCGGGGCUUGAGUACAGAUGAGGUAGGCGGAAUUGACGGUGUAGCGGUGAAAUGCAUAGAUAUCGUCAAGAACACCGAUAGCGAAGGCAGCUUACUAAGCUGUAACUGACGCUGAGGCACGAAAGUGUGGGGAUCAAACAGGAUUAGAUACCCUGGUAGUCC